This 1332-nucleotide ribosomal RNA is filed under the name uncultured bacterium. Its description in RNAcentral is "bacterial SSU rRNA". It matches the Rfam family "Bacterial small subunit ribosomal RNA", at positions 1 to 1375 of the family's 1533-position model. The record is from RNAcentral.
GGGAAUUCGAUUAGAGUUUGAUCAUGGCUCAGAACGUACGCUGGCGGCACGCCUAACACAUGCAAGUCGAACGAAGUAGCAAUACUUAGUGGCAGACGGGUGAGUAACAUGUAGGUAUCUGCCCUUUGGCCUGGAAUAACACGAGGAAACUUGUGCUAAUACCGGAUAAGUCUUUACGGAGAAAGCUUUAUGCACCAUUGGAUGAGCCUGCACUUGAUUAGUUUGUUGGUGGGGUAAUGGCCUACCAAGACUGUGAUCAAUAGCUGAUUUGAGAGGAUGAUCAGCCACAUUGGGACUGAGACACGGCCCAAACUCCUACGGGAGGCAGCAGUGGGGAAUCUUGCACAAUGGAGGAAACUCUGAUGCAGCGAUGCCGCGUGAGUGAAGAAGGCCCUUGGGUUGUAAAGCUCUUUCGUCGGGGAAGAAAAUGACUGUACCCGAAUAAGAAGGUCCGGCUAACUUCGUGCCAGCAGCCGCGGUAAUACGAAGGGACCUAGCGUAGUUCGGAAUUACUGGGCUUAAAGAGUUCGUAGGUGGUUGAAAAAGUUGGUGGUGAAAUCCCAGAGCUUAACUCUGGAACUGCCAUCAAAACUUUUCAGCUAGAGUAUGAUAGAGGAAAGCAGAAUUUCUAGUGUAGAGGUGAAAUUCGUAGAUAUUAGAAAGAAUACCAAUUGCGAAGGCAGCUUUCUGGAUCAUUACUGACACUGAGGAACGAAAGCAUGGGUAGCGAAGAGGAUUAGAUACCCUCGUAGUCCAUGCCGUAAACGAUGUGUGUUAGACGUUGGAAAUUUAUUUUCAGUGUCGCAGCGAAAGCGAUAAACACACCGCCUGGGGAGUACGACCGCAAGGUUAAAACUCAAAUGAAUUGACGGGGACCCGCACAAGUAGUGGAGCAUGUGGUUUAAUUCGAAGAUACGCGCAGAACCUUACCAACACUUGACAUGUUCGUCGCGACUUUAAGAGAUUAAAGUUUUCGGUUCGGCCGGACGAAACACAGGUGCUGCAUGGCUGUCGUCAGCUCGUGUCGUGAGAUGUUGGGUUAAGUCCCGCAACGAGCGCAACCCUCACUUUUAGUUGCCAUCAUUAAGUUGGGCACUCUGAAAGGACUGCCAGUGAUAAGCUGGAGGAAGGUGGGGAUGACGUCAAGUCCUCAUGGCCCUUACGUGUUGGGCUACACACGUGCUACAAUGGUAUCUACAACAGGAAGCAAAACGGCGACGUUAAGCAAAUCCUUAAAAGAUACCUCAGUUCGGAUUGCACUCUGCAACUCGAGUGCAUGAAGCUGGAAUUACUAGUAAUCGUGGAUCAGCGUGCCACGGUGAAUGCGUUCCC